UCCCUGGUGGUCCAGUGGCUAAGGCUCUAUGCUUCUAAUGCAGAAGGCCAGGUUUGAUCUCUGGUCAGGGAA
RNAcentral lists this transfer RNA (72 nucleotides) under Ovis aries (sheep). It matches the Rfam family "tRNA". Rfam says of the family: Transfer RNA (tRNA) molecules are approximately 80 nucleotides in length. Their secondary structure includes four short double-helical elements and three loops (D, anti-codon, and T loops). Further hydrogen bonds mediate the characteristic L-shaped molecular structure. tRNAs have two regions of fundamental functional importance: the anti-codon, which is responsible for specific mRNA codon recognition, and the 3' end, to which the tRNAs corresponding amino acid is attached (by aminoacyl-tRNA synthetases). tRNAs cope with the degeneracy of the genetic code in two manners: having more than one tRNA (with a specific anti-codon) for a particular amino acid; and 'wobble' base-pairing, i.e. permitting non-standard base-pairing at the 3rd anti-codon position. The record is from Rfam by way of RNAcentral. Lineage: Eukaryota; Metazoa; Chordata; Mammalia; Artiodactyla; Bovidae.